This 860-nucleotide ribosomal RNA is filed under the name Bacillaria sp. Its description in RNAcentral is "partial large subunit ribosomal RNA". The record is from RNAcentral. Lineage: Eukaryota; Bacillariophyta; Bacillariophyceae; Bacillariales; Bacillariaceae.
UACCCGCUGAAUUUAAGCAUAUUAUUAAGCGGAGGAAAAGAAACUAACCAGGGAUUCCCCCAGUAAGGGCGACUGAAACGGGAAGUGCUCAGGAUGUGAAUCUGCGUUAUGCGCCGAAUUGUGGUCUGUAGACAGUAACGUUACCUGUUGGGCCAAGUCCCUUGGAAAAGGGCAGCUGAGAGGGUGAGACUCCCGUCCGCCUGACAGGAUGAGUUGCUAGUCCAAGAGUCGAGUUGUUUGGGAUUGCAGCUCAAAGUAGGUGGUAAAUUUCAUCUAAAGCUAAAUAUUGGUGGGAGACCGAUAGCGUACAAGUACCGUGAGGGAAAGAUGCAAAGAACUUUGAAAAGAGAGUUAAAGAGUACCUGAAAUUGCUGAAACGGAAGCGAAGGAAACCAGUGGUAUGCCUGGUCAUAUUUCCCUGGCCGCUUGCGGCUUGGGCGCUGUGUCCGGUUUUUGUUGUGUUUGGUUGAAACUUGCGGAAGAGCGUCGGGGGAGUUGACCCUGACUGCUAGCGUUGGUUUGGACUGAGCAGGACGAAAUGKUUYUCUUUCCCCCGUCYUGAAACACGGACCAAGGAGUCUAACAUAUGUGCGAGUACAGGAGUGGCAAACUCCCGUGCGUAAUGAAAGUGACAGUGGUUKGAAUUUUGCACAAUCCGCCGGCCUCAAUCCCUCGGGAGAACGGUCUGAGUGUGAGCAUACAUGUUGGGACCCGAAAGAUGGUGAACUAUGCCUGAAUAGGGUGAAGCCAGGGGAAACUCUGGUGGAGGCUCGUAGCGAUUCUGACGUGCAAAUCGAUCGUCAAAUUGGUAUAGGCGCGAAAGACUAAUCNAACCAUCUAGUANCUGGUUCCCUCCNAAA